Molecule: ribosomal RNA, 292 nt
Filed under: uncultured bacterium
Lineage: Bacteria
Description: partial 16S ribosomal RNA
Source: RNAcentral
GGACUACCCGGGUAUCUAAUCCUGUUUGCUCCCCACGCUUUCGCACCUAAGUGUCAAUAUUGGUCCAGGUAGCCGCUUUCGCCACUGGUGUUCCUUCCGAUAUCUACGCAUUUCACCGCUACACCGGAAAUUCCACUACCCUCUACCAUAUUCUAGACAUCCAGUCUCGGAAGCAAUUCCUAGGUUAAGCCCAGGGCUUUCACUUCCGACUUAAAUAUCCACCUACGUGCGCUUUACGCCCAGUAAUUCCGAUUAACGCUUGCACCCUCUGUAUUACCGCGGCUGCUGGCAC